Molecule: unclassified non-coding RNA, 254 nt
Filed under: Borreliella burgdorferi (Lyme disease spirochete)
Lineage: Bacteria; Pseudomonadati; Spirochaetota; Spirochaetia; Spirochaetales; Borreliaceae
Description: 5S-23S ribosomal RNA intergenic spacer
Source: RNAcentral
CUGCGAGUUCGCGGGAGAGUAGGUUAUUGCCAGGGUUUUUAUUUUUAUACUUUAAACUUUGAUUUUAUUUUUAUGUUUUUUAAAUAUUGGUGUUUUUGAAUGUGUUGUUUAAAUAACAUAAAAAAUAAAAUAUAUAUUGACAUGUAUUAAACAAAGAUAUAUAUUAUUUUAUGUUGUAUAAAUAAAUUGGCAAAAUAAAGAUGGAAAAAAAAAAUAUGGGCAAAGUAAUAAAAGUCUAUGGUGAAUGCCUAGGA